AACGUAGGGUGCAAGCGUUGUCCGGAAUUACUGGGUGUAAAGGGAGCGCAGGCGGGAAGGUAAGUUGGAUGUUUAAUCUACGGGCUCAACCCGUAUCAGCAUUCAAAACUAUUUUUCUUGAGUAGUGCAGAGGUAGGCGGAAUUCCCGGUGUAGCGGUGGAAUGCGUAGAUAUCGGGAGGAACACCAGUGGCGAAGGCGGCCUACUGGGCACUAACUGACGCUGAGGCUCGAAAGCAUGGGUAGCAAACAGGAUUAGAUACCCUGGUAGUCCAUGCCGUAAACGAUGAUUACUAGGUGUGGGAGGAUUGACCCCUUCCGUGCCGCAGUUAACACAAUAAGUAAUCCACCUGGGGAGUACGACCGCAAGGUUGAA
Molecule: ribosomal RNA, 374 nt
Filed under: uncultured bacterium
Lineage: Bacteria
Description: bacterial SSU rRNA
Rfam family: Bacterial small subunit ribosomal RNA
Source: RNAcentral